This 334-nucleotide ribosomal RNA is filed under the name Chiasmocleis leucosticta (Santa Catarina humming frog). RNAcentral's name for it is "partial 16S ribosomal RNA". It matches the Rfam family "Bacterial large subunit ribosomal RNA", at positions 2006 to 2514 of the family's 2925-position model. Lineage: Eukaryota; Metazoa; Chordata; Amphibia; Anura; Microhylidae. The record is from RNAcentral.
GAGGAUUACACUGUCUCCCCCCCCCAAUCAAUGAAACUGACCCCCCCGUGAAGAAGCGGGGAUAAGCAUAUAAGACGAGAAGACCCUAUGGAGCUUUAAACACAUCACCACUUAUCUUAACCCACCCCUCUAAGACAGAUAAAGCUGGUGUCCGUUUUCAGUUGGGGUGACUGCGGAGCAUAAUAAAACCUCCACGAUGAAAACCAAUCCAAGAACAACGCUUCUAAGAAUCAAUAAAUUGACAUAAAUUGACCCAAAUAAUAAUUUGAUCAACGAACCAAGUUACCCUAGGGAUAACAGCGCAAUCCAUUUCAAGAGCUCAUAUCGACAAAUG